Molecule: transfer RNA, 77 nt
Filed under: Thermoplasmata archaeon
Lineage: Archaea; Methanobacteriati; Thermoplasmatota; Thermoplasmata
Description: tRNA-Ile
Rfam family: tRNA
About the family: Transfer RNA (tRNA) molecules are approximately 80 nucleotides in length. Their secondary structure includes four short double-helical elements and three loops (D, anti-codon, and T loops).
Source: RNAcentral
GGGCCCGUAGCUUAGUCCGGCGGAGCGAUUGGCUCAUAACCAAUUGGUCAUCGGUUCAAAUCCGAUCGGGCCCACCA